UACAGAGGUCUCAAGCGUUGUUCGGAUUCAUUGGGCGUUAAGGGUGCGUAGGCGGCGCGGUAAGUCGGGUGUGAAAUCUCGGAGCUUAACUCCGAAACUGCAUUCGAUACUGCCGUGCUUGAGGACUGGAGAGGAGACUGGAAUUUACGGUGUAGCGGUGAAAUGCGUAGAUAUCGUAAGGAAGACCAGUGGCGAAGGCGGGUCUCUGGACAGUUCCUGACGCUGAGGCACGAAGGCCAGGGGAGCAAACGGG
RNAcentral lists this ribosomal RNA (253 nucleotides) under uncultured bacterium. RNAcentral's name for it is "partial 16S ribosomal RNA". It matches the Rfam family "Bacterial small subunit ribosomal RNA", at positions 524 to 776 of the family's 1533-position model. The record is from RNAcentral.